This 1351-nucleotide ribosomal RNA is filed under the name uncultured prokaryote. Its description in RNAcentral is "partial 16S ribosomal RNA". It matches the Rfam family "Bacterial small subunit ribosomal RNA", at positions 43 to 1395 of the family's 1533-position model. The record is from RNAcentral.
CAGGCCUAACACAUGCAAGUCGAACGGUAACAGCACUUCGGUGGCUGACGAGUGGCGCACGGGUGCGUAACGCGUAUACAAUCUACCUUUUACAGGGGGAUAGCCCAGAGAAAUUUGGAUUAAUACCCCAUGGCAUAUAUUUAUGGCAUCAUAUAUAUAUUAAAGAUUCAUCGGUAAGAGAUGAGUAUGCGUUCUAUUAGCUAGUUGGUGCGGUAACGGCGCACCAAGGCUACGAUAGAUAGGGGCCCUGAGAGGGGGAUCCCCCACACUGGUACUGAGACACGGACCAGACUCCUACGGGAGGCAGCAGUGAGGAAUAUUGGACAAUGGGCGAGAGCCUGAUCCAGCCAUGCCGCGUGCAGGAAGACUGCCCUAUGGGUUGUAAACUGCUUUUAUACGGGAAGAAACACCUCCACGCGUGGGGGCUUGACGGUACCGUAAGAAUAAGGAUCGGCUAACUCCGUGCCAGCAGCCGCGGUAAUACGGAGGAUCCAAGCGUUAUCCGGAAUCAUUGGGUUUAAAGGGUCCGUAGGUGGAUAAUUUAGUCAGAGGUGAAAUCCUGCAGCUCAACUGUAGAAUUGCCUUUGAUACUGGUCGUCUUGAGUCAUUGUGAAGUGGUUGGAAUAUGUAGUGUAGCGGUGAAAUGCAUAGAUAUUACAUAGAACACCGAUUGCGAAGGCAGAUUACUAAUAAUAUACUGACACUGAGGGACGAAAGCGUGGGGAGCGAACAGGAUUAGAUACCCUGGUAGUCCACGCCGUAAACGAUGGAUACUAGCUGUUCGAUCGGACUUCGGUCUGAGUGGCUAAGCGAAAGUGAUAAGUGACCCACCUGGGGAGUACGUUCGCAAGAAUGAAACUCAAAGGAAUUGACGGGGGCCCGCACAAGCGGUGGAGCAUGUGGUUUAAUUCGAUGAUACGCGAGGAACCUUACCAGGGCUUAAAUGUAAGUUGCAUAGAGUAGAGAUAUUCUUUUCUUCGGACUACUUACAAGGUGCUGCAUGGUUGUCGUCAGCUCGUGCCGUGAGGUGUCAGGUUAAGUCCUAUAACGAGCGCAACCCCUGUUGUUAGUUGCCAGCGAGUCAAGUCGGGAACUCUAACAAGACUGCCAGUGCAAACUGUGAGGAAGGUGGGGAUGACGUCAAAUCAUCACGGCCCUUACGUCCUGGGCUACACACGUGCUACAAUGGUAGGUACAGAGAGCAGCCACUGCGCAAGGUGGAGCGAAUCUACAAAACCGGUCUCAGUUCGGAUCGGGGUCUGCAACUCGACCCCGUGAAGCUGGAAUCGCUAGUAAUCGGAUAUCAGCCAUGAUCCGGUGAAUACGUUCCCGGGCCUUGUACACACCGCCC